UUUUAGCCCCGGUUGCAACGGCAUACCCGCUUCAGCGGGAUAUAGUGGAAAACGGGACUCAAC
This 63-nucleotide unclassified non-coding RNA is filed under the name Halpernia humi. RNAcentral describes it as "Chryseobacterium humi Flavo-1 RNA". The record is from RNAcentral. Lineage: Bacteria; Pseudomonadati; Bacteroidota; Flavobacteriia; Flavobacteriales; Weeksellaceae.